CUGGCCAAUAGGCUGUAAAUCUUGCCUGGUGUUUUGUAACAAAGGAAAAAAUAGAAUGAUUUGUGUUGACUUUUGGUCAUCGUGUAUCAUUAUCGAUCCGGGGGAGGGCGGCGAGAAGCGCGUACCGCGGAUCUGUUGCUCGCCACUUCUCCGGGAAGGCGGCGUGAGCCAGCAGUCAGUAGAGGGCAAUAGAGAAAUACAGUUUGUGAUGCCUAAAGGAUUUGAAGCCCUGAUUAUGUGUUUACAGAAAAGAAAAAGAAGAAAAGAAGAGCCAGGAGGAUAGGUUGUUCAGUUUACUACCGGAGACCUGACUGUGACAGACCACCAAGAAAACAAAAUUUAUAAAGAGAGUAAAGAAGACCUUCUGCAGCAUCAGCAAGUCUCUCCUUUUUUCUUCAGAGUUACGUAGGAUAACUUAGCCAGAACUUAUUGAUGUCUGCAUGUUCAGUGGACUCGGGAACGACUGGGAGAUGCGGAAACAUACUCUUUGGAAGAAACAGAAGAGGAGGCAUUUCAAAGAUCCUGCAGGUGACAAAGGUCCUUGUAAAACAUACAGGUACGGCUGCUCUGCUCUGGUUUUGCUUCAGAGGAAGAACAAACCUUGAGGAAAAUGGAAAAGGAGCACUGCAUGUUUCUGCUGCCUCUCCUGACUCCAGGGCCAAUGAAGGUUGUACCAUUUUUGAGAACCACCCUAGAAUGCCUACAAAACUGAGCAUGUUUAGAGGCAUCUCUUGCCAACAAAUCUGUGCACUUGGUUUUUUCCAUGGACUGUAGUCUGGAAUUUGGCAAGCCUUGGUAAUCUUUCCUGGAUGAGCAGUUGGAUUAUUCACCAAUUUUUUUUUGGAGCUGGAGUGAAAAUAAACAUGAGCUUGGAAUGCUGGGUGCCAGCUCAAACCCAGACUUCCCCAGUGUGAGCCCAGAACGGAGAGAUAUAAUUUGGCCCCUUUUGGAUUAUGAUCCUGUGUCAGAGUGACGUUUUGAGUCUGAUUGGCGUGAAGUGUGAUACUCAUGUGAUGAUCUGCUGACAGAAUAAAUAAAUUGUAGAAAGUGCCAAGACUGUUCAGGCAUUUGCUGUAAUAUCACUCCCACAGGAGGAACCUUCAUCACAGUCUUUCUUCAAGUAUGUUCUCUCCUCUGGGUUCAUUAUUUUGCAGAGGAUGGGUCUUUCUGCACUGCAGGGAUCUAUCUAUCACUGCUGACUCUCUGCAUCUUCUCCACAUGGAAGAAGUAAUUGGAUUGUAUUUUCUGCACACGACCAAGACAGCAGGGAAACCCAGAGCUGUAAGCCAGAGAACCAAGCUGUCUAGAGGGCUGGGCCUGGGCCUCACCAGCACGCCUAAUAAUGUCAUCAGGACUAAGGACAUGAGGAUGACGAGGUGUUCCGCACCCAGCAGUGAAACCAUGCCAGUACAAAGAUCUAAACCAAAAGUGACUGGACCUCAGACAAAGGAGGAGAAGGGAAGUGGUUGAGGUCUCCACACAGAUGUCUGAUUACGAUUCCACCAAGGUGAAUUUGAAACUGUGUCACAGCUCAGCCGCUUCUCCCCAGUGCCUGUGGAGCCAGCUUCCAGCGUGACACAUCCCAUCUUUGACUCACCAGGUAAGUAAGGCUGGGAUAUCAGUAUGAAAACUGGGCAAAUAUUGACUUCUUUUGACGUACAAUAACUUUGUUGUACCUAUGAUACAAUAUAUUUAUGUAAUGUUUUCAGCUUAUGCAUGACUAUGGGCUGGAAUUAGUAGCUUUUGAAAGAUAAUGCUGAAGAAAGGAAUGUCAGAUACUGUGCUGGGGUUUAGAAAACUGACCACUAAUCUAAUGUUUUCCAAUAAGCCACUCUGAUUUACAGCACAGAAUAAAAGUUGUCUCAAGAAGUAAGUGAAAUAAAAUUGUGCUUCAAGACAUAAACAAGCUUCAUGAAAGUUUGGGAUAGGAACAAUAUCCCCUUCUGACACAUUACUUUAUAACUGCAGAAUGUGAAACUGCUUGCAUCAUUCUCUGAAGGAUCUAGUCCUGGCAGUUUUAGAUACUAGGUAAGUAAUUUUUUAAAUUUAUAGGUUCUCCAACUUCUUUCAAUGGAUAUAUAGGUUUUCAAGGAUAUUUUACACAGGUCAAUUGCUAUGUAGAGACCAAGAGCUUCAUUUCCUCAAUCACAUUUCAAGAUCACAUUAGAGGGAAUUCACAGAUGCCCAGGGACUGAUGAACCACAUGAGGAAAACCAUGAGACAACUCAGACCAGGAAUCGGAUUCUGUCUGACAGUUUUCUACACCUGAUGUGUCUAAAUCAAUGCUUUUUUUUUAAUUUUUUUUUUCUUAAUUGCAGAAGUCAUGCUUCAAUUCAGCUAGAAAAUAGGAACUUAAGGAAAGAGCUUGAAUGUCUGUGGCAAACCUAUAAGGAUGGACAUACAACAUGGUUGUAAAGUUUAAUUCUAGACUGAAAAUCAAUGAAUAGACAAAGAUUCAUGUUUCUAAGAAAACAAAGGCAUAAAUCUACAGCCAUUUUGAGGAAUGAUGUGCAGAUUUCUCCUGAGGGACAUACAAAGAAGGCCCACACCUACAGAAAGGCUGUCCCAAGAUUAUGUCACCUAUAUGUAUCAUGAAGGAAUUUUCUUCUUGGCUGCUCAGAGGAGGAUUUUUAACAUUUGCCUCCCAUUUAUUCCACAACAUUUCGUUGCUGAGUAACUUGUACUUCUUUACACCAUUUUAAUUUGAUGGCAAGUACAAGUAAUGCAGAGACCUUUCUUUCCUAAGGGAAAUUAAGAAAAUAAUUCAUUCUUUUGCUCAGUAACUCAACUGAAUUCAAUUUGGGUUCAUUCUUUUAGGAAAGGUGUUUAUCUAGUUCUGUCAAAUUAAAAUAUGGAAUGAAAAAUGUCAAAAAUACUGACCAUCUUGUCAUCACAAUUCUUAGUUCUUUCAUGCCAUGCUUCCUCCACAGAGAAUUUUAUUUUGAAGAGGGAAAAACUAACAUAAAAUCUUAGAAGGUGUAAGUCACACCUGUAAUUUCUGCAUAUUACUAAAUACCAACACUAUGUGCAUGGCACAAUGCUUCAGCAAACCACAUUGAUUUGGCUUUCUGAGCUCAUUUGUAAGAUUUUAAUUUUAUUUUUUUUUCUUAUAUUUACUUCGGUGUAUAUUUGCCAGAUGAAUUGUAUGCACAGAAAAAGGUGUAAUAAAGGGGCAGGAGUAUCAGCUGCAUUAUGUGUCCCUGAGAGACAGAGCAAAAACAUUAUUUGGAAAUUUCUGUGGCACAGAGCCCUGCUGGCAGCUGCUGAUCUCAUUCCUUUCCCUUACAUGGGGCUGUUAACACGAGGACACAUAAGGGAAUGGCUGAGGACUGGAGAGGCCAUGACUAAAGUGAAUAUUGAUUCUCUUUUUCCUUAGUGUGGCUGCCUGUGUAGAAAACAUCGAUCAGUAGUGCAGCCUGAGUGAAGGCUGAAUGAAUUAAUGGAAGACAGAACCCUCUCGGAGCUACUGAAUACACAGAAAAUCAGCCUGGCUCGGGAUCUGUCCGGGCUGCAAGUACUUUGCAGUAGGCUGGGCUGCUUGCGACUCUCCGCUCUCACGCUCCUCGUUCCAACAUCAGCUUUUGGGCGUUAGCAUUAGCUGUUUUUAUUUCAUUAUGCUUUUAUUUACUGUUGGCAGGAGAGGAGGACUGGAAGCUGCCCAGAGUGCUGGCUGCAGCCACCGACAGACCUCUUUUUCCCCAGGGCUGGCUGCAGCACAGAAUUGUCGGGAGCUGAGUGUGUUUCAUAUCCAGAGCAAAUUUUCCAAAGUGCCUAAAUGGCUUGAAACUGCAGGUUCUGUUGGCCAAGAUCAAGUAACUUGCUUGGGCAAUGGCUUCCAGUUAGCCUUCUUUUUGUCUCUCUCCCUAUGUUUGUGCAUUUUCAUUUAUGCAGAAAUCAUUUAGCUCUUCUUCCUUUUAUUUAAGCAGGCAAGGAACAGCGAGCUUCAAAACUGCAGAAUUCCUUGAAAUCUUUUAGCUUCAACUAUUCUGUCUCUGAUAGAAAAACGUGUAUUUGCUUUUUAAUUCUCAGUCACUUUAACUGGUUCUGGUAACUUUGUACCCACAAGCACAGAACACUAGAUGGAUAUACUGCAGCAAAACGAGUUACAUGUUGUAUUUAGAAACAAGUACCUUUAAAAUAUUUACCCGUCUGCCAAGACUUGGAAAAAUGAGAAAGCAAGUUCAGCUCAGUACACAGAGCAGUUCCUCACUGCCUGACUCUCCUCAUGGCUGCUGGGAAUGCCUGGCAUGUCAGGUAACACAUGCUGAGCAAGAGCUAAAAAGCCCUUCGUUGCUUGUAAAAAUGAAAAAAGCUCCUUAUUGGAAAACAGCUCUUUUCAGAGGCAUUACAGCUGUGGAUGAUGCUGUAGAUAUACUUCUCAGCCAUCAGGCAGAGUGCCCAGCAGGGACCAGAUUUCAGCAGUGUCAGUAGGUAAGAUGUGUAACAGUGAUAAGUCCAGUUGUCUUGUACCAGAGCAUCCUGUUUUUCUUUAUACCUACAUUGCAAAAACAACACAUGCUAACAGCAUACAUUUACAUGAAACAAGCAAUGAUUGAACAUACCUAUUUAAUUGUUCACCGCCACCUAAGUCAGGAGAGUCACCCUGGGUCACCCUGCACUGUUCUGAUGUCCCGUUCUCUCCUGACACAUCUGCAGCUCUGCUGUUUCAUGUUAGGAGACCUUUCAGUUUUGGCUUUGCUCUGCCAGUAGCAUCUGGUGCUGUUCCCUUCUGCUGUGACUGCAACUGGCUGCUCCUUCCUGAGGGAAAUAGAUGAUUUCUUGAGGCUGUGGUGAUCUGGUCUGGGAGGUGCUGUACAGUCUCAGAUAGGAGGUCUCGACUAGCAGUCUCCUGUCUGUUCAAGAGCUUACAAGCUGAAUGCCUUUGUAACCUCCUCUUGGACUUGAGGGUGGCACCAGGUGCUGGGGCUCUUUCACACUGCAGGGUUUGUAACAUCUGGCUGAUGCCAUGGGUUAUAACAAAAAAUGACACCAUGCACAACAAACAUCUCCAGGGGUUUCUCCAACUUCAGUCUCUAAUCUCUCAGGCUUCCUGUGCCCUGUAUGUGUCUAUAAUGCUUUAGAAAUGACAGCUGCAGAGAUUUUGACAUUGAGGAUCCAUGUGAAGCUGGUGCAGAGGCUGGUAAGAGGCUGCCCUGACCCUCUGGGCCCAGGAGUGUCACAUUCUCUCUGCAUUUGAACUGCAAGUGGAGAGGGCACAGAAGGGUCAGACAGAUAUCCUUAUGAUCCCACUUUCCUCUGUGUCACGGGACUUUGUGCACAACUGGCAAUUAUAGAUGUAGCCCUGAAACUCACACCAAGCUUCUGACCUGUUCUCACACACUAUUUUAUGCAGCAUGUCAUGUCCAACAUGACUGUAAUGUCUUCUGUCUUACUCACAUCCAGCUCUGUCUCCUGCUUUUUUUAACUUCUCUCCCAGAAAUUUUUCUUAGGCAGACUCUUCUUCCAUUAUUCAGACUCAGAUCACUUUUCACCACUGUUUUGUUCCACAUCAAAGCCUGUAACCUCACCCCUUUGCAGUUAGGGCUCCCAAAAGCCUAGAAAGCUGCUCUGAGGAAGCUGGUCUCUGCAGCUGGGGCAAUGAGCUGGGGUGGCUGUACAUGUUCCUGUUAUUGAGAGCAAACAGACUUGUCCAUACUGUUUGAUUUCUUUCUCCCCAGGGAUUUUGCUGGGCUAUCUCCCUGUCUGUUCACUGUUUUUUCCCCUGUCUGACAGUGUUUGCUGUGGGCAGUCAUGCUUGGCCAGAGGAUAAUGCUCCAUGGCUCUGCUCAGGCAAGCCUGUCUCCCACAUGUUCAGCGUACGUUGUGUAAGGAAUGUCAGACCUUUGCUGGAACUACUGGGUGGCUGCUUAGGAGAAAUGCUGGGAGUCAGCACAGGCACAUCCCACAGUUCCCACUGUGGGCAGUAGGUUGUAGUGAUUGCCAGAGCUCCCUUCUGGGCUGUAAAGGUUUUGCAAGCAGCCCUUCUGCGUGGUAUUCUGUGCAGCAUACCCAGCUUGCUGUACUCUAGAGACAUUGCUGGGCCCUACCCUCUCCUCACCUGAGAGCUUUGGAGGCCCAGCAACAUGUGUUAUACUUGUCUGUGCGCUCAGCAGUGACCUCUUUGUGAUGCUGGCUGAUCUCUCAAGGGCUGGAUCCAUUUCUCUCAAUAAUUUCACUUGCACUCUGGAAUCCCACUAGCAGCUCUUGUUUUUAAUUAAGGGCUCCAUAAUGUCUCCAAAGAUAUGCCUAGUGUCAGAGAUCUUACAUCUGAAACAUAAGGCUCAAUUGCCUCAUUUUUUUAUUUUUGGUUUUGAGCACAAUUACUGAGUCCCUCUACAAUCUUAUUCUGUCCAGGUCAAGUCUACAAAUAAUUUUCUUGAUGGUUCAAUUGUUCCAAGUAUUAUUUUAAAAAUAAUAAGUGACUCUCUCAGGUCACUUCUUGUCCUUUUUGCUCAGUGAGACAGUGAAAAGUUUUAUUUCCAUGUUUUCUCACUCUCUGUCAUGGCCAAGUCCAUGUAUCAAUUCCCUGCUCACAUGAACAUUUCAAACCAGCUUUUUGAGCUCUCAGUGACCCAAAUGCCUUCUGGCUGUUUGCCUGCUUCAUUCCCAGGCUGUCUUUCUGUGUCCACUGCACUGGCUGAUGACAAACUCUGUCCCACCUCUCAGAAAGGGACAGCGUAUCUCCAGCUGCAGAUCAUCCCUUUGGAUUAGUUAAUAAGAGAGAAGUCCUGUUAGAAUCUGUAGCAAACAUCCCUCAGGUAGCUGCAAUAAAUGAGGAAAUGUUUAAAGGUGAGCUAUGUCCUAAUAUCACCUGUUGGAAAGGACUUUAUGUUUCAUAUAUUUCAUAUUAUUGCUCUGAAAGACUAAACGCAGGAGCACAUUACCAAUUGAAGUGCUUGUGGAAAUUAAAUCCAUGUUUAAAUGAAUUUGAAACUUUUAAUGCAAAAUUGAGCACUUAGAAAUUUUGCAUCAACUCCUACUUAAUUAAAAUUAAUAAGGUUUCAGAGAGUUUUAGUUGGGAUAGAUGAGGAAAGAAUUUGGCCUUAAAUGUGUAAUUAAAAUACAAUUACUUUGGAAGGAAGUAAUUACUGAGGUUGUACCUCAAAAGCAUACCUAAUGGGCUAUCAGGAGAAAAGGUUUAUGUGUUUGGUUCACCAGCUAUACUAGAUAUAAAAGGAUGCAGUCACUGAAAGAAAGAGAUAUUAGCAAGAUCAUUUAGGUAGAUAGUAGCAGCUCUUUUAUGGUCAAAUCAUUCUGGCUACAUUUAGAAAGGAGACUACUUCAUCUUAGUUUGGGGUGUGCAAGCACCUCCACAGGUUUUCCUUCUGACAUGUUUAAUUGUUUCCCAGCCCUCUCAUGGGCCUGUGAGAGAAGGAAGCAUUGUUAAACCAGUGUCAAACAUCUCUGGAUGAGGGAAAAGUUAGCACUGAAUGACCUCAGCUGUCUGAUUUUAGGAACUAUUUGACAAUGGAAUACUCAAAGUGAAGGGCCUAAUCUGACCCUGGUUAAAACCAUGGAGGGAACGCUCCUCUUGGUCCCUGCACUAGUCUGCAUGAAGCCCUGAGCAUGGAACCAGAAUUGUGGUGUCAGUUUUGCAUAAACCUAAACUUGGUUUUGUUUUUACAUUAUUGCCCUGGCACACCUAUGAAAAAUGGUUUAAUAAAUAUGACAUUCCACAACAUGCACAAAACAGACAGGCUUGGGAGUUAAAGCUGAAGCGUGAGCAUUAAAACUGAAGUCACUUUGUGCUCUGUGGAGACAGAACAAUCCAUCAUGCAUUUGAUUUUUUUGUUUUGUUUUGUUUGGCUAUUUUUCUUUUUUUGGGUAAUGUGAUAGGUUUUGGUUUUGAAGUUAGUGGUGUGGUUUCUGUUGACUGUACUGGAGUUUGGAUUAGGUUCAUGGAAAUAAAUGGAUUAUAUUUUAUAAUAAAUGGUAUAGGUAGUCAAAGAUGCAAGGUUCACAGUCCCAUUUGGAUCAGAUCCUUUUCAAAGGUUCAGAGUCACAGAUUGCAUCGAAUUUCCUGGAACACCUGGGUGUAACAUUCAGCUUAAAUCAUAUCAACAUGAUUUGAUUGCAAGGUUUUGAUUUAACCUUGUUUCUUCACAUAACUUUCUGAGGUUUCUAACUGUGAUUUUUACAAGUACAGUGUGUUUUGUAAAAGAAGUGUGGGAGAGGAAAUAUACCUGUCUCUGCUAUGCAGUGUCCCCUUCGAUACAUUAUCAAACAUAGUGAAAGUAGCCUGAUGUUUUAAUCAACAGAUACAUGUCCUUGGCAAGGAAGUGAAUUUAGGAUUUAGUGAAAUGCACUCUGCUGAACUGUUGACACUCAGUUCAUAGUCAAACUUGUAUUGAUAAAGAGGAACACCCGCCUUGUAUUGAAGAUUUAGCUCAGUAAAAUAAAAGUUGGUUACAGUAAUUUCUCUCUACCCUUACAUUCCCUGCAGCAAUGCUUGUUACAUGGGUAAGUAACACAUGGAGAGUUUGACUUAGCAUUUUUCACACCAAAACCAGAUGUCUUCAGUAAUACUCAACCAGGAUAUUUUUCAAACUUGUUUUGUUUUGUUUUUAAUGCAAUACGGAAGAUGUGGGAUUGUCAGUGUUGUGGUACAUCGUCAUCUAAAAUGGUUUCCAAGUUAGAGCUCCCAAAGAAGCCUGAGAAAGGAUGUUUCAUGUACAACAUUAUCAGCACUUGUCAACAGGGCAGGACUGAGUGAAGUCAGCCUUCUGUGGCUGUAAUAGCACAAGAGCUUCCUUGCCUUCAAUAGUUUCUUUCUUUUUCCCCAGGGUCGUGUAGCAACUAACACCUGAAAAAGCAGCCUUUAUAUCUUCCUCAAGCUAAUUAAAUACAGAUUCAAGCCGAGGAGCAAUAUUGCUAAGUGUCCUUUUGUUACCUUGUUAGUCUCUGAAGAUUCUCACAUUUCAGUCUUGACUGACCUAAGUGGCAGCAGAGUUCUCAGCCAUAGAAACCACAUCUGGAGAAAAUUCCACCUCUCAAAAUCACAAAGCUCUUAAGGAUUUACACGGAGUGACAUUAACUACCAGGAUCAAAUAAAUGUAGCAAAAACAUGCUCCCAAUCACAGAGGUCACUGAAGAGCCACACAGGUUUGGCUUACGCUGAGUUUUGCCUUUUUGUACCCACAUGAAACAUUUUUUUUAACGGUUCCAGAGUGGGGGGAGAAAUUUAUAAGAGAAACUAAUGGCUUGAAGUACACAGCUGAGACAGGCAAAGACUAUUGCUUAUGUCUGCACAGCAUCAAUAGCAGCAUAUUUUGAGUGUGAUUUACCUCCUGUAAUCUUCGGCUUCCCCCCAGACAGGGCCACUGGUGGAGCAGGUGCUGUCAAAAGGAGAACAUCAUGACGGCUGAGCCCUGCUGGAUGUGUUCAGAGUCUGGAUGGAGGCCAUUCAAGCCUUUUCACCUGUAUUUUAUACCAAGUUUGGAACAAUGUGUUUUAGUUGAUACGGUGGUGUUUGGCCAAAUGUUGGACUCAAUGAUCUUCAAGGUCAUUUCCAACCCUAAUGAUUCUAUGAUUCCAUAAAUACAGGUACUCACUGACACACAUCUGUGCCAUUCAGUUUACAGGAUUGUCCAGGUGCUAAGGGUUUGUAUUUUGUAUCCUUUACACAGAUUAAAAGACUUCUUCUAGUCUUUAAAAUUUGUAACCUGUGUAACUAGACUGUAUGAAGUGUUUAUGUCUGAGAAUUUCAGGAUUUGGCAACAGUUUUGCACGGGGACAUGGGAUAGUGCUUACUUCCUUUUUUUCUUAUUUUCUUUUACUUGUUAAAGGCAAAACACAAAUCUGUGCAUUUUAAAGCAGCUCUCUGAAAUUUCAUGGCUUUAUAAUUGCAAUCUAUCGGACUGAAAACUAAAUCUAAAAUUAGACAUAAAAAUCACAAUAUUACCAGUCCUGGAUUUAAGGCUUAUAUCACUGUGAAUUUCUACGAAAAUAUUUAAGAAUCAAUUUAAAUGCUAAUGGACUUGUUUGCCAUAAAACUAGGCAGUAGUCAUAAUAGCUGCUUCACAGCCAUAGUAUGGGUCUUUCCUUCACAGGACUUCACUUGUGACAUUAAAUUUAGAGAUGUUGCUGUGUAUCAUAGACCUAUGCAAAAGGGAGGAGGGUGGAGGGGGAGGGGGUGGUUCUCUGAAACCCUGCAGAAAGCAACUUCUCAAAACCUGACUUUGCUCAUGUGGACUUUGAAAAUCUGACUGUAGAGCCAGACACAAACUUGUGUAAUCCCGAGGCAGAGUUAGAGGCAGAAGUACCUGUCUCUUCCUGCCCUGUAGCUGGUGACUUGCUGUGGUCCCCAGCUUUGCCUGUGGGAUGUCCUCUAUAUUCAGACUUCAAAACUGGAUCCAUCUGCCAGCUUUGUGCCGUUCCUUUGGGCUGAACUUUUUGGAGACCACAGGCGCUUCCCACUCUGGGUGGUGAUGGGGUUACAGCCCAUUAGAGGCUCUUUCCAUUUAAAUUGGGACCAGCUGCAUCAUUACUUCUGAAAAGCACAUUCUGUGACCUCUAUCACACCAUCUAGGCCAGGGUCUGAGACCGUGUGAUAGAAGGGAUGGUGAGGUGGCUCCUUUGGCCAGCACACAACCAGUGACCUUGUUAAACUUUUGAUAUGAGGGCCUGGGAACAGCACCUUCCCACACAUUUUUUGAAGCAGUCACUGGCAGUGCUGUACAAGCAAAUGGCCCUGGGUCAGGCUAUCCACACAGACCUGGAGCAUCUCUGUUCACAGUCACUACCAACUCAUUCCUGAGCUGAUGAAAUCAAGUCUGCUGUGAGGCUGUGUCCUGUGUCCAGGCUCUCCAAUGUCAAGAGAUGACUUGGUGUAGGUUGCUGGCUCUCUGCUGUCCGGCUUUCAUCUCUGCUCAAUUUUCAGGCAUAUCCAUUGGAUUCGUCCAUGUGACAAAACUAAGAUGUGGCUAUGGACACACUGUCAUGUAUACAAGCACAAGACGGUGGUGACCCCUUACCCCAUUUUGGCCUGUGGUGACCAGCACUCAUCCAGCAAUUCCUGGACAUGAGAAAAAGACCUGUGGAUUUCCUUCAGCUCUCUGCCAAUAUCUACAUAAAAACUCUGGAUACAUAAAAACAUGUGGAUAGAGCACCAAAAGAAGCACUUUUGACCCUUUAUUUCAUUGUUAGCAAUUGGGAGCACUGUUACUGCUCAGAAUAACAGAGAUACUCAAAGUGUGCUGGAUGCUGGUGGGCAAGACUCAAGAGCAUGGCUCCAGCCCUGGGUGAGCAUGGUGAGGGACAGUGGGACACCUCAACAGGUGAAGAGACUCAGAUCUGGGCUUUGAUGAAUAGUCCUACUCACAGGCUCCUACUCACUGAAGCCCAGAUGUAGACCUCAUGUCUCAAAUUAUCCCUCUUAAAAAUAAUAUUCCUAGGAUGUUUGGACCGAAGAAACAGCAGCAAAUAGCUACAAUUCUGCAAUCCUUUUUCUUAAUGCACACAGUAUUUCAUGACAUCUCAGAAGGGAACUUGGAUGCUAAAUUCCCAUUUCCUUUACAAAGGCUGUUGCAGGAAUGCAUUGGUGGAGUGAUAAUGAAAGCCAGCGGAUCAUUUCAUCAUUUUGACUUCCAGGGUGGCAAUAAUAAAGCUCUGGGCUCCUGUUUCAUGCUGUUUCCAAAUGAACAGCACUUCUUUUGCAGCCACUGAGCUGGAGAUUUGCUGCAUCAUGCUGUCCUGGAAGCUCACCAAGAGAUUGAGAACCACUCUGGAUUUUUUCUUCCGCUCACAUCUUUACUAGAAAUAAAAGUUUUACAGGCCAGAUCCUGGAGUAGAAGUUUCCUUGCCACCAUUCUACCUGUUAGUCAUGAGCAAGUCCACUUCUUCCAUAACAGAAUCAUGGGAUGUGGUGCUAAGAUGAACAGGAAGCAGCAAAAGCUAUUUUAAUUACCAAAGAUAGAACACAUUUGGAGGACAGAUAUAAAAUCUACUGAUCUCAGUGGAAGCCUUUUCCCACUGAACUAAGCAGGCUUUUGAUCAGAUCCCCAGUUAAGGAAAAUGGUGUUUCUGCUAUUUAGCUCUUCUUCACUGUAGGCUGAUCAACCUCUGCCUUUGUUGCUCAUAUCAGAGUUGGCCCUCUGACCAGCCUGGGCAGAAACACUGGCUUCUUGACUUGGCUGGUCAUUCUGCCUUUUGCUUCACCUCUCCAUUUCCUUGCUGCUCUUCCUGGUUGCUCUAUGCUCUUUUUGGUGACUCCCAGGAGAAGAGACAAAGUUUUACAGAGGGGCAGUGAAGCUGAAAUGGCUGCUACUGAGAAAGAAAUCCCUGGGUCUUCACAGCCCUGCAGAGUUGCUGAAAAGUACAAUAAAGAUGAGUGUGGUGAAGAAUGUAUAAGAAUGGAGAUUGCUUUAAAGGGCCCAUGAGAUUGAUAUUGCUCACAAACCAUGAGACACCACCUCUCUAAGUGGCAGGAACUGUUUCUCCACUCUAAGAGAUCCUUAUCCUCCUCAGGACAUCUGCAGGAGACCAUUUCUGUAAAUUGCAGUUCAAAAGUCUGUCACCUGAUGCGACUCCUGGGGCAAAAGCAGCACCACUUCAAUGCAAUCCCAGCAUGAAAAAGUUAAUAAAGUGUAUGUCACUGAGAAACCAAUUGUACCUGCAAGUUAGGUAAAGGUCACACAUGAAUGCGUGAAAACUGGACAUGCUACAUAAACUGUUGAUUGAAAUCUCCUUUUCACUCGUAUGUGACCACAUUGAGUACAAACAGGAUCAGGACACAAAGAAAAAUAAGACUGAAAAUUUUUCAGAUUAAUGAACUUUCGCUAGAUUUUCUUUCACUUUAUUUUUUCCAUGGUACACUGGCUACUUAGAUGUUAGGUGGGCUGGAGAUACUUUCUCAUUCUUCUGGUAAUUAAAAUAUUGAGACCAAUGUUAUGUACAGAAGAAAUAAAAUAAUUUGGGCUACUGGCUUCUUCUUUCAUGAUGUGAAAUUCUGGAAGAAUUUGAUGGCCUCUCCUCUGAAUUUCAAAGCAGAUGUUACUUGGUGCCAGCAGUUGGAUCAGUCUGUGGUGUAAAUGAUGGUGAGCACAGAGACAGUGCUGUUGAUUUCAUUACGGCAGCUCCUAUAACACUGUGUCAUGUGCUUUAUGGUCUUAAAAA
Molecule: long non-coding RNA, 13113 nt
Organism: Parus major (Great Tit)
Lineage: Eukaryota; Metazoa; Chordata; Aves; Passeriformes; Paridae
Exons: 7
Source: RefSeq, a predicted model, not a curated record